GUGAGGAAUAUUGCGCAAUGGAGGCAACUCUGACGCAGCCAUGCCGCGUGCAGGAAGAAGGCGCUACGCGUUGUAAACUGCUUUUAACCGGGAAGAAACCCCAGGACGUGUCCUGGGUUGACGGUACCGGAGGAAUAAGCACCGGCUAACUUCGUGCCAGCAGCCGCGGUAAUACGAAGGGUGCAAGCGUUAUCCGGAUCCAUUGGGUUUAAAGGGUGCGUAGGCGGAGCGUUAAGUCAGUGGUGAAAUCCUGCAGCUUAACUGUAGACUUGCCAUUGAUCCUGGCGCUCUUGAGUGCGCUUGAAGUGGGCGGAAUGUGCCGUGUAGCGGUGAAAUGCUUAGAUAUGGCACAGAACACCAAUUGCGAAGGCAGCUCACUAAGGCGAUACUGACGCUGAGGCACGAAAGCGUGGGGAUCGAACAGGAUUAGAAACCCUGGUAGUCC
RNAcentral lists this ribosomal RNA (445 nucleotides) under uncultured bacterium. Its description in RNAcentral is "bacterial SSU rRNA". It matches the Rfam family "Bacterial small subunit ribosomal RNA", at positions 354 to 796 of the family's 1533-position model. The record is from RNAcentral.